RNAcentral lists this ribosomal RNA (2989 nucleotides) under Salmonella enterica subsp. enterica serovar Infantis. RNAcentral's name for it is "23S ribosomal RNA". It matches the Rfam family "Bacterial large subunit ribosomal RNA". The record is from RNAcentral. Lineage: Bacteria; Pseudomonadati; Pseudomonadota; Gammaproteobacteria; Enterobacterales; Enterobacteriaceae.
GGUUAAGCGACUAAGCGUACACGGUGGAUGCCCUGGCAGUCAGAGGCGAUGAAGGGCGUGCUAAUCUGCGAUAAGCGCCGGUAAGGUGAUAUGAACCGUUAUAACCGGCGAUACCCGAAUGGGGAAACCCAGUGUGACUCGUCACACUAUCAUUAACUGAAUCCAUAGGUUAAUGAGGCGAACCGGGGGAACUGAAACAUCUAAGUACCCCGAGGAAAAGAAAUCAACCGAGAUUCCCCCAGUAGCGGCGAGCGAACGGGGAGGAGCCCAGAGCCUGAAUCAGCAUGUGUGUUAGUGGAAGCGUCUGGAAAGGCGCGCGAUACAGGGUGACAGCCCCGUACACAAAAGCGCAUGUGCUGUGAGCUCGAUGAGUAGGGCGGGACACGUGGUAUCCUGUCUGAAUAUGGGGGGACCAUCCUCCAAGGCUAAAUACUCCUGACUGACCGAUAGUGAACCAGUACCGUGAGGGAAAGGCGAAAAGAACCCCGGCGAGGGGAGUGAAAAAGAACCUGAAACCGUGUACGUACAAGCAGUGGGAGCACAGGUUUACCUGUGUGACUGCGUACCUUUUGUAUAAUGGGUCAGCGACUUAUAUUCUGUAGCAAGGUUAACCGAAUAGGGGAGCCGGAGGGAAACCGAGUCUUAACCGGGCGUUAAGUUGCAGGGUAUAGACCCGAAACCCGGUGAUCUAGCCAUGGGCAGGUUGAAGGUUGGGUAACACUAACUGGAGGACCGAACCGACUAAUGUUGAAAAAUUAGCGGAUGACCUGUGGCUGGGGGUGAAAGGCCAAUCAAACCGGGAGAUAGCUGGUUCUCCCCCGAAAGCUAUUUAGGUAGCGCCUCGUGAAUUCAUCUCCGGGGGUAGAGCACUGUUUCGGCUAGGGGGCCAUCCCGGCUUACCAACCCGAUGCAAACUGCGAAUACCGGAGAAUGUUAUCACGGGAGACACACGGCGGGUGCUAACGUCCGUCGUGAAGAGGGAAACAACCCAGACCGCCAGCUAAGGUCCCAAAGUCAUGGUUAAGUGGGAAACGAUGUGGGAAGGCCCAGACAGCCAGGAUGUUGGCUUAGAAGCAGCCAUCAUUUAAAGAAAGCGUAAUAGCUCACUGGUCGAGUCGGCCUGCGCGGAAGAUGUAACGGGGCUAAACCAUGCACCGAAGCUGCGGCAGCGAACGUAUCACUUAAAGCGAUUCAGCGGGUUACGAUUGACGGAGCGAAGCGACGUCAAAGCGUAUACAAAGUCGAGUCGGUUUAAGGAUACGUUCGUUGGGUAGGGGAGCGUUCUGUAAGCCUGUGAAGGUGUGUCGUGAGGCAUGCUGGAGGUAUCAGAAGUGCGAAUGCUGACAUAAGUAACGAUAAAGCGGGUGAAAAGCCCGCUCGCCGGAAGACCAAGGGUUCCUGUCCAACGUUAAUCGGGGCAGGGUGAGUCGACCCCUAAGGCGAGGCCGAAAGGCGUAGUCGAUGGGAAACGGGUUAAUAUUCCCGUACUUGGUGUUACUGCGAAGGGGGGACGGAGAAGGCUAUGUUGGCCGGGCGACGGUUGUCCCGGUUUAAGCGUGUAGGCUGGUUUUCCAGGCAAAUCCGGAAAAUCAAGGCUGAGGCGUGAUGACGAGGCACUACGGUGCUGAAGCAACAAAUGCCCUGCUUCCAGGAAAAGCCUCUAAGCAUCAGGUAACAUCAAAUCGUACCCCAAACCGACACAGGUGGUCAGGUAGAGAAUACCAAGGCGCUUGAGAGAACUCGGGUGAAGGAACUAGGCAAAAUGGUGCCGUAACUUCGGGAGAAGGCACGCUGACACGUAGGUGAAGUGAUUUACUCAUGGAGCUGAAGUCAGUCGAAGAUACCAGCUGGCUGCAACUGUUUAUUAAAAACACAGCACUGUGCAAACACGAAAGUGGACGUAUACGGUGUGACGCCUGCCCGGUGCCGGAAGGUUAAUUGAUGGGGUCAGCGCAAGCGAAGCUCCUGAUCGAAGCCCCGGUAAACGGCGGCCGUAACUAUAACGGUCCUAAGGUAGCGAAAUUCCUUGUCGGGUAAGUUCCGACCUGCACGAAUGGCGUAAUGAUGGCCAGGCUGUCUCCACCCGAGACUCAGUGAAAUUGAACUCGCUGUGAAGAUGCAGUGUACCCGCGGCAAGACGGAAAGACCCCGUGAACCUUUACUAUAGCUUGACACUGAACAUUGAGCCUUGAUGUGUAGGAUAGGUGGGAGGCUUUGAAGCGUGGACGCCAGUCUGCGUGGAGCCGACCUUGAAAUACCACCCUUUAAUGUUUGAUGUUCUAACGUGGACCCGUGAUCCGGGUUGCGGACAGUGUCUGGUGGGUAGUUUGACUGGGGCGGUCUCCUCCUAAAGAGUAACGGAGGAGCACGAAGGUUGGCUAAUCCUGGUCGGACAUCAGGAGGUUAGUGCAAUGGCAUAAGCCAGCUUGACUGCGAGCGUGACGGCGCGAGCAGGUGCGAAAGCAGGUCAUAGUGAUCCGGUGGUUCUGAAUGGAAGGGCCAUCGCUCAACGGAUAAAAGGUACUCCGGGGAUAACAGGCUGAUACCGCCCAAGAGUUCAUAUCGACGGCGGUGUUUGGCACCUCGAUGUCGGCUCAUCACAUCCUGGGGCUGAAGUAGGUCCCCAAGGGUAUGGCUGUUCGCCAUUUAAAGUGGUACGCGAGCUGGGUUUAGAACGUCGUGAGACAGUUCGGUCCCUAUCUGCCGUGGGCGCUGGAGAACUGAGGGGGGCUGCUCCUAGUACGAGAGGACCGGAGUGGACGCAUCACUGGUGUUCGGGUUGUCAUGCCAAUGGCACUGCCCGGUAGCUAAAUGCGGAAGAGAUAAGUGCUGAAAGCAUCUAAGCACGAAACUUGCCCCGAGAUGAGUUCUCCCUGAGACUUAAAGUCUCCUGAAGGAACGUUGAAGACGACGACGUUGAUAGGCCGGGUGUGUAAGCGCAGCGAUGCGUUGAGCUAACCGGUACUAAUGAACCGUGAGGCUUAACCUU